RNAcentral lists this ribosomal RNA (879 nucleotides) under Eleutherodactylus iberia. Its description in RNAcentral is "partial 16S ribosomal RNA". It matches the Rfam family "Bacterial large subunit ribosomal RNA", at positions 1574 to 2602 of the family's 2925-position model. The record is from RNAcentral. Lineage: Eukaryota; Metazoa; Chordata; Amphibia; Anura; Eleutherodactylidae.
CCUUUUAAACAGCGUCAAAGCUUAAUUAUAUACCCAAUAAAUCCCCCAACCAAAUUAAAACCCUACCACAAUACUGAAUAAUUCCAUACAUCUAUGGAAAAUAUAAUGUUAAAACUAGUAACACGAAGUUAAAACCUCUCUUAAAUGUGAAUGUAAGUCAGAAUGGAACACACACUGACAAUUAACGGCCUAAACUAAAGUAACAAAUACUCAAGAAAACCAUACUAAUUUACCUGUUAACCUAACACAAGAACAUUUAAAGAAAGACUUAAAGAAAAAGAAGGAACUCGGCAAAACUGAUUCCGCCUGUUUACCAAAAACACCGCCUCCUGACUAAUCAUAGGAGGUCCCGCCUGCCCAGUGACUCUGUUUAACGGCCGCGGUAUACUAACCGUGCGAAGGUAGCGUAAUCACCUGUUUUUUAAUUAAAGACCUGUAUGAAAGGCAUCACGAGAAUCACACUGUCUCCUUUCUCAAGUCAGUGAAACUAAUCUCCUCGUGAAAAAGCGAGGAUAACACUACAAGACGAGAAGACCCUUUGGAGCUUAAGACAAAAUAAAUACCUGCUAAUUUCCGCCCCCAACACCACACAGCACCCUAUUUAUAAGUCUUGGGUUGGGGCAACCACGGAGUAAAAACAAACCUCCGAGUUGGACGGGAAUUCCCUAAACAAAGAGCAACAGCUCUAUGUAUCAAAAACUGACACAUUUGACCCAGUAUAUCUGAUUAACGAACCAAGUUACCCCAGGGAUAACAGCGCAAUCCACUUAAAGAGUUCAUAUCGAAAAGUGGGCUUACGACCUCGAUGUUGGAUCAAGGUACCCUGGUGGUGCAGCCGCUACCAAAGGUUCGUUUGUUCAACGAUUAAAACCUCACGCG